GAUGAAGAACGUAGCGAAAUGCGAUAAGUAGUGUGAAUUGCAGAAUUCAGUGAAUCAUCGAAUCUUUGAACGCACAUUGCGCCUUCUAGUAUUCUGGGAGGCAUGCCUGUUUGAGCGUCAUUAAACCUCUCUCAAGUAUGAUUACUUGGAUGUGAAGGAAGAGUACCUUAAACUUAAGGAGUGUUCUCCUUUGAAAUUGAUUAGCAGAUGGUAAUGUUAUUUAAUCCCUGAUGUUGUAAGAAAUAACAGUGGUUUUGUAGACUAUUAUCUAGCUUUAAAUUAUAAUUUUUAUUAUGGUUGACCUCAAAUCAGGUAAGGAUACCCGCUGAACUUAAGCAUAUCAAUAAGCGGAGGA
This 355-nucleotide unclassified non-coding RNA is filed under the name soil metagenome. RNAcentral describes it as "partial contains 5.8S ribosomal RNA, internal transcribed spacer 2, and large subunit ribosomal RNA". The stretch from base 1 to 120 matches the Rfam family "5.8S ribosomal RNA", at positions 35 to 154 of the family's 154-position model. The record is from RNAcentral.